UCUAUAGGAAUACUAGGAUUUAUAGUAUGAAGUUGUGUUAUGGCUUCACCCUAUAGUGAUAUAGGG
Molecule: transfer RNA, 66 nt
Filed under: Fusarium pseudograminearum CS3220
Lineage: Eukaryota; Fungi; Ascomycota; Sordariomycetes; Hypocreales; Nectriaceae
Also listed under: 4 other names
Description: tRNA-Asn
Source: RNAcentral